GACGAACGCUGGCGGCGUGCUUAACACAUGCAAGUCGAACGGAAAGGCCCUGCUUUUGUGGGGUGCUCGAGUGGCGAACGGGUGAGUAACACGUGAGUAACCUGCCCUUGACUUUGGGAUAACUUCAGGAAACUGGGGCUAAUACCGGAUAGGAGCUCCUGCUGCAUGGUGGGGGUUGGAAAGUUUCGGCGGUUGGGGAUGGACUCGCGGCUUAUCAGCUUGUUGGUGGGGUAGUGGCUUACCAAGGCUUUGACGGGUAGCCGGCCUGAGAGGGUGACCGGCCACAUUGGGACUGAGAUACGGCCCAGACACCGACGGGAGGGAGAAGUGGGGAAUAUUGAACAAUGGGCGGAAGCCUGAUGCAGCAACGCCGCGUGCGGGAUGACGGUCUUAGGGUUGUAAACCGAUUUCGCCUGUGACGAAGCGUGAGUGACGGUAAUGGGUAAAGAAGCACCGGCUAACUACGUGC
Molecule: ribosomal RNA, 469 nt
Filed under: uncultured bacterium
Lineage: Bacteria
Description: partial 16S ribosomal RNA
Rfam family: Bacterial small subunit ribosomal RNA
Source: RNAcentral